Molecule: ribosomal RNA, 207 nt
Filed under: uncultured bacterium
Lineage: Bacteria
Description: partial 16S ribosomal RNA
Rfam family: Bacterial small subunit ribosomal RNA
Source: RNAcentral
CGCGUAGGCGGCUCGGUAAGUCUGAAGUGAAAGUCCUGGCUUUAAGUUGGGAAUUGCUUUGGAUACUGUCGGGCUUGAGUGCAGGAGAGGUUAGUGGAAUUCCCAGUGUAGCGGUGAAAUGCGUAGAGAUUGGGAGGAACACCAGUGGCGAAGGCGACUAACUGGACUGUAACUGACGCUGAGGCGCGAAAGUGUGGGGAGCAAACA